Malurus melanocephalus (red-backed fairy wren) is the source of this 573-nucleotide long non-coding RNA. RefSeq lists it as uncharacterized. Lineage: Eukaryota; Metazoa; Chordata; Aves; Passeriformes; Maluridae. The record is from RefSeq and is a predicted model, not a curated record. The transcript has 3 exons.
GUGCCUCUCUAUGAAGUUGCUUUCCGCACCACUGCAGAUGUCGCCCUGCUGCAGACUGAGGUGGAAGUUCCUGUUAAGAGCCUACACGAGGAAAUGCACUCCAACACUGAAAAGACCACCAUGAAAGGCAGGAAAAGUCCUGAGUAUGAGAACCUUGUGACUGCAAUGGAAUCACAAUACGAAAUAGAAGGAAUUUAGUAGUGUACCGGCGUUUCUGCAGGAGCAGUCAUGCAAGGCUGCAGCACUGAUCUGCUCUGAGAAGGUCUGGACACCUUCCUCAGAAGAUAAAAACCUGGGAGAAGCUGCAGAGGAAGAGGGCAACRGGAGUUAAGAAAGGGGGUGCAGAUGCUCCAGAUGGACCAGCCCCCACACACUCUAUGUUGUCACUGCCUCUAGUUUGCACAGCAAAAGGACUUUGGUGACAAGUGGCAGAAGAGUGGAAACACAAGAAGCCUGUCUCCAGUGCCAAUGUGGUUGUUUCUCCCUGUGCAGCAAGYGUGUGAUUAUUUCUUUAUUUUACUUUUGGCAUGUUUUGGCAUGUUUGUAGUAAAACCURUUGGCAACAGAACAUUU